GAAGACCGCCGGGCAGCCGCGGCGCGGCAUGUUCCGCGUCGAGGAAAGUCCGGGCCCCAUAGAGCAGGAUGCCGGCUAACGGCCGGGCGCCGCGAGGCGACGGACAGGGCAACAGAAAGUACACCGCCGAUGGCCCGCCAGGGCACAGGCAAGGGUGAAAUGGUGGGGUAAGAGCCCACCGCGGGCGUGGCAACACGCACGGCACGGUAACCCCCAUCCGGGGCAAGGCCAAAUAGGGAAGCGAUAGCGUGGCUCGCGCUGCUUCCGGGUAGGCCGCUAGAGCGCGCCGGUAACGGCGCGCCCAGAGGAAUGGCUGCUCACGACAGAACCCGGCUUACAGGCGGUCUUCCC
This 351-nucleotide RNase P RNA is filed under the name Rhodocyclaceae bacterium. RNAcentral's name for it is "RNase P RNA component class A". It matches the Rfam family "Bacterial RNase P class A". Rfam says of the family: Ribonuclease P (RNase P) is a ubiquitous endoribonuclease, found in archaea, bacteria and eukarya as well as chloroplasts and mitochondria. Lineage: Bacteria; Pseudomonadati; Pseudomonadota; Betaproteobacteria; Rhodocyclales; Rhodocyclaceae. The record is from RNAcentral.